AGUGAACGCUGGCGGUAGGCCUAACACAUGCAAGUCGAACGGCAGCACAGUAAGAGCUUGCUCUUACGGGUGGCGAGUGGCGGACGGGUGAGGAAUACAUCGGAAUCUACUUUUUCGUGGGGGAUAACGUAGGGAAACUUACGCUAAUACCGCAUACGACCUACGGGUGAAAGCAGGGGAUCUUCGGACCUUGCGCGAUUGAAUGAGCCGAUGUCGGAUUAGCUAGUUGGCGGGGUAAAGGCCCACCAAGGCGACGAUCCGUAGCUGGUCUGAGAGGAUGAUCAGCCACACUGGAACUGGGACACGGUCCAGACUCCUACGGGAGGCAGCAGUGGGGAAUAUUGGACAAUGGGCGCAAGCCUGAUCCAGCCAUACCGCGUGGGUGAAGAAGGCCUUCGGGUUGUAAAGCCCUUUUGUUGGGAAAGAAAAGCAGCAGGUUAAUACCCCGCUGUUUUGACGGUACCCAAAGAAUAAGCACCGGCUAACUUCGUG
This 492-nucleotide ribosomal RNA is filed under the name uncultured bacterium. Its description in RNAcentral is "partial 16S ribosomal RNA". It matches the Rfam family "Bacterial small subunit ribosomal RNA", at positions 29 to 507 of the family's 1533-position model. The record is from RNAcentral.